Molecule: ribosomal RNA, 468 nt
Filed under: uncultured bacterium
Lineage: Bacteria
Description: partial 16S ribosomal RNA
Rfam family: Bacterial small subunit ribosomal RNA
Source: RNAcentral
GACGAACGCUGGCGGCGUGCUUAACACAUGCAAGUCGAACGGAAAGGCCCUGCUUUUGUGGGGUGCUCGAGUGGCGAACGGGUGAGUAACACGUGAGUAACCUGCCCUUGACUUUGGGAUAACUUCAGGAAACUGGGGCUAAUACCGGAUAGGGGCUCCUGCUGCAUGGUGGGGGUUGGAAAGUUUCGGCGGUUGGGGAUGGACUCGCGGCUUAUCAGCUUGUUGGUGGGGUAGUGGCGUACCAAGGCUUUGACGGGUAGCCGGCCUGGGAGGGUGACCGGCCACAUUGGGACUGAGAUACGGCCCAGACUCCUACGGGAGGCAGCAGUGGGGAAUAUUGCACAAUGGGCGGAAGCCUGAUGCAGCAACGCCGCGUGCGGGAUGACGGCCUUCGGGUUGUAAACCGCUUUCGCCUGUGACGAAGCGUGAGUGACGGUAAUGGGUAAAGAAGCACCGGCUAACUACGUG